This 549-nucleotide ribosomal RNA is filed under the name uncultured Glomus. RNAcentral describes it as "SSU rRNA". It matches the Rfam family "Eukaryotic small subunit ribosomal RNA", at positions 548 to 1099 of the family's 1831-position model. Lineage: Eukaryota; Fungi; Glomeromycota; Glomeromycetes; Glomerales; Glomeraceae. The record is from RNAcentral.
UUGGAGGGCAAGUCUGGUGCCAGCAGCCGCGGUAAUUCCAGCUCCAAUAGCGUAUAUUAAAGUUGUUGCAGUUAAAAAGCUCGUAGUUGAAUUUCGGGAUCAAUAUAUCGGUCGUGCCUUGGUACGUACUGGUAUCAUUGGUUUCUCCUUUCUGACGAACCAUGAUGUCAUUAAUUUGGUGUUAUGGGAAGUUAGGACUGUUACUUUGAAAAAAUUAGAGUGUUUAAAGCAGGCUUUAGCUUGAAUACAUUAGCAUGGAAUAAUGAAAUAGGACGUUCGAACCUAUUUUGUUGGUUUCUAGGAUCAACGUAAUGAUUAAUAGGGAUAGUUGGGGGCAUUAGUAUUCAAUUGUCAGAGGUGAAAUUCUUGGAUUUAUUGAAGACUAACUACUGCGAAAGCAUUUGCCAAGGAUGUUUUCAUUAAUCAAGAACGAAAGUUAGGGGAUCGAAGACGAUCAGAUACCGUCGUAGUCUUAACCAUAAACUAUGCCGACUAGGGAUCGGAUGAUGUUAAUUUUUUAAUGACUCAUUCGGCGCCUUACGGGAAACA